GACAGAGGUGCCGAGCGUUAGGCGGAAUCACUGGGCUUAAAGCGUGUGUAGGCGGAUGGGUAAGUACCUUGUGAAAUCCCACGGCUCAACCGUGGAACUGCUCGGUAUACUGCUCGUCUAGAGCCAACUAGGGGCGACCGGAACAAACGGUGGAGCGGUGAAAUGCGUAGAUAUCGUUUGGAACGCCGAUGGUGAAAACAGGUCGCUGGAGUUGUGCUGACGCUGAGACACGAAAGCCAGGGGAGCGAACGGG
RNAcentral lists this ribosomal RNA (253 nucleotides) under uncultured bacterium. RNAcentral describes it as "partial 16S ribosomal RNA". It matches the Rfam family "Bacterial small subunit ribosomal RNA", at positions 524 to 776 of the family's 1533-position model. The record is from RNAcentral.